RNAcentral lists this ribosomal RNA (869 nucleotides) under uncultured archaeon. Its description in RNAcentral is "bacterial SSU rRNA". It matches the Rfam family "Archaeal small subunit ribosomal RNA", at positions 36 to 913 of the family's 1478-position model. The record is from RNAcentral.
GAUGAACUAAGCCAUGCGAGUCAUUGUAGCAAUACAAGGCAGACGGCUCAGUAACGCGUAGUCAAUCUACCCUAUGGACGGGAAUAACCUCGUGAAACUGAGAAUAAUGCCCGAUAGAACAUUAUACCUGGAACGGUUUAUGUUUCAAAUGAUUUAUCGCCGUAGGAUGGGACUGCGGCCUAUCAGUUUGUUGGUGAGGUAAUGGCCCACCAAGACUAUUACAGGUACGGGCUCUGAGAGGAGUAGCCCGGAGAUGGGUACUGAGACACGGACCCAGGCCCUAUGGGGCGCAGCAGGCGAGAAAACUUUGCAAUGUGCGAAAGCACGACAAGGUUAAUCCGAGUGGUUUCUGCUAAAGAAACCUUUUGCUAGUCCUAGAAACACUAGUGAAUAAGGGGUGGGCAAGUUCUGGUGUCAGCCGCCGCGGUAAAACCAGCACCUCAAGUGGUCAGGAUGAUUAUUGGGCCUAAAGCAUCCGUAGCCCGUUUUGUAAGUUUUCGGUUAAAUCCAUACGCUCAACGUAUGGGCUGCCGGGAAUACUGCAUAACUAGGAAGUGGGAGAGGUAGACGGUACUCGGUAGGAAGGGGUAAAAUCCUUUGAUCUAUUGAUGACCACCUGUGGCGAAGGCGGUCUACCAGAACACGUUCGACGGUGAGGGAUGAAAGCUGGGGGAGCAAACCGGAUUAGAUACCCGGGUAGUCCCAGCUGUAAACUAUGCAAACUCAGUGAUGCAUUGGCUUGUGGCCAAUGCAGUGCUGCAGGGAAGCCGUUAAGUUUGCCGCCUGGGAAGUACGUACGCAAGUAUGAAACUUAAAGGAAUUGGCGGGGGAGCACCACAAGGGGUGAAGCCUGCGGUUCAAUUGGAGUC